Molecule: unclassified non-coding RNA, 462 nt
Filed under: Cutaneotrichosporon cutaneum
Lineage: Eukaryota; Fungi; Basidiomycota; Tremellomycetes; Trichosporonales; Trichosporonaceae
Source: RNAcentral
UAUCCUUUGCAGACGACUUGAAUAGAACGGAGUGCUGUAAGCAGUAGAGUAGCCUUGUUGCUACGAUCUGCUGAGGCUCAGCUCUUGUUCUACAGAUUUGUGCUUUAGCACUCUCUCCGGUUGCAACGGAGUGGGGCAGCCCUCUGUCCCCCUCGGUGGCUAUCGUAGACAGUGACUUAACAGCAUGAGGACUUGUACGGGUGAAUACUUGGACAGGCUGAUUGAGGAAGUGAAGUGCGACGGUUGGGCGACCAAAAACGCUGAGCUUAGCUGUGGGCUCAAGCCUGACACUAUCUGAAGAAUAUGCAAGAUACAGUGACAUGUGGGCGUUAUAACCACUUGCAAGGGUGCUGGAGGGUCUCCUCGGGCACCCGGUCUUGGGCUGAGGCCUGCUGGCGGUGCAGUUUAUAAGGCGUUGAAAGACCUACUAGUAUCUACGGCCAUAGACUAGAAAUCCUCCCC